RNAcentral lists this ribosomal RNA (324 nucleotides) under uncultured bacterium. RNAcentral's name for it is "bacterial SSU rRNA". It matches the Rfam family "Bacterial small subunit ribosomal RNA", at positions 480 to 793 of the family's 1533-position model. The record is from RNAcentral.
ACAGAAGAAAGACACCGGCGUAACGUACCGUCGCCACGCAGACCGCGGUAAUACGGAGGGUGCGAGCGUUAAUCGGAAUUACUGGGCGUAAAGCGCAUGCAGGUGGUUUGUUAAGUCAGAUGUGAAAGCCCGGGGCUCAACCUCGGAAUAGCAUUUGAAACUAGGCAGACUAGAGUACUGUAGAGGGGGGUAGGAAUUUCAGGUGUAGCGGUGAAAUGCGUAGAGAUCUGAAGGAAUACCGGUGGCGAAGGCGGCCCCCUCGGACAGAUACUGACACUCAGAUGCGAAAGCGUGGGGAGCAAACAGGAUUAGAUACCCUGGUAG